RNAcentral lists this unclassified non-coding RNA (394 nucleotides) under soil metagenome. Its description in RNAcentral is "partial contains 5.8S ribosomal RNA, internal transcribed spacer 2, and large subunit ribosomal RNA". The stretch from base 1 to 122 matches the Rfam family "5.8S ribosomal RNA", at positions 35 to 154 of the family's 154-position model. The record is from RNAcentral.
GAUGAAGAACGUAGCGAAAUGCGAUACUUGGUGUGAAUUGCAGAAUCCCGUGAACCAUCGAGUCUUUGAACGCAAGUUGCGCCCGAAGCCAUCAGGUUGAGGGCACGUCUGCCUGGGCGUCACAUAUCGUUGCCCAAUGCCUAUUGCAGUGCAAUAGGAAUUUCUAGGGCGAAUGAUGGCUUCCCGUGAGCGUUGUUGCCUCGCGGUUGGUUGAAAAUCGAGUCCUUGGUAGGGUGUGCCAUGGUAGAUGGUGGUCGAGUUAGAACGAUACCGAUCAUGUGCAUGCUCCCCAAAAUAUGGCCUCUAUGACCCACACGCGUCUUUUGACGCUCAUGACGAGACCUCAGGUCAGGCGGGGCUACCCGCUGAAUUUAAGAAUAUCAAUAGCGGAGGA